AGAGUUUGAUCCUGGCUCAGAAUGAACGCUGGCGGCAGGCCUAACACAUGCAAGUCGAACGGGCACUUCGGUGCUAGUGGCGGACGGGUGAGUAACGCGUGGGAACAUACCCCUCGGUUCGGAAUAGCCUCGGGAAACUGGGAGUAAUACCGGAUACGGACUAUGGUCGAAAGAUUUAUCGCCGAGGGAUUGGCCCGCGUUGGAUUAGGUAGUUGGUGGGGUAAUGGCCUACCAAGCCGACGAUCCAUAGCUGGUUUGAGAGGAUGAUCAGCCACACUGGGACUGAGACACGGCCCAGACUCCUACGGGAGGCAGCAGUGGGGAAUCUUAGACAAUGGGGGGAACCCUGAUCUAGCCAUGCCGCGUGAUCGAUGAAGGCCUUAGGGUUGUAAAGAUCUUUCAGAUGGGAAGAUAAUGACGGUACCAUCAGAAGAGCCCCCAAUUCCCCA
Molecule: ribosomal RNA, 449 nt
Filed under: uncultured Pseudorhodobacter sp.
Lineage: Bacteria; Pseudomonadati; Pseudomonadota; Alphaproteobacteria; Rhodobacterales; Paracoccaceae
Description: bacterial SSU rRNA
Rfam family: Bacterial small subunit ribosomal RNA
Source: RNAcentral